UCAGCUAAGCAAGAGCAGGGGCCGCGUGGACCUGGGGAAGGCCAGCCGGCGAGCGUGCACCAGCCCCAGGGCUCUGUCCCAGCCCCUUCUGGAAAGUUCCAGGCCUGUUUUGCUCCAGAGCUGGAUGGCGUCAGGCAGUGAGCAGCCACAUGAGGGCAGGAGGCAUCGUUAGUGCUGCCCCUUCACGUCACCCCGGAGCCCAGGCCCUGCAGCAGGGGACCCCAAGGCCCACUCGGGCACAUGACAGCCACCCCGGCCAUGUCAGAGCCCUCCUGAGCUCGUCACGGACACCGGUACCUGCACCAGCAGGUAGCACAAGGGCCCGAGAUGGGGACUCCCUUCCCUCCUGGGAAGAUGCCACCAAAACAGCUGGACAGACACGAGAGGCGGGGUCUGGCAAUGCGCACGGUGGGGACAGAGCCGGGCCGGGGCUAACAGAUGGCCCCGUGGACGCGUCCUCACAAGCCAGCGAACUCCUCGAUGGUCAUGAGCGGGAAGCGAAUGAGGCCCAGGGCCUUGCCCAGAACCUUCCGCCUGUUCUCCGGCGUCACCUGCAGCUGCUGCCGCUGACACUCGGCCUCGGACCAGCGGACAACGGCGUUGAACAGCCGCACCUCACGGAUGCCCAGUGUGUCACGCUCCAGGACAGCCACCAGCGUGUCU
Molecule: non-coding RNA, 663 nt
Filed under: Pan troglodytes (chimpanzee)
Lineage: Eukaryota; Metazoa; Chordata; Mammalia; Primates; Hominidae
Source: RNAcentral